This is a long non-coding RNA of Neltuma alba, 95 nucleotides long. RefSeq lists it as uncharacterized. The record is from RefSeq and is a predicted model, not a curated record. The transcript is spliced from 3 exons. NCBI's taxonomy places the organism in Eukaryota, Viridiplantae, Streptophyta, Magnoliopsida, Fabales, Fabaceae.
UAAUUUCAUUUUCGACUCCUUAAAGUGAAUAUGACCCGGAUUGUGCACUAUAUUACAUUAAUUUGGUUUAUUUUUGGAAUAACCUCAAGGCGACA